RNAcentral lists this long non-coding RNA (1787 nucleotides) under Panax ginseng (ginseng). Its description in RNAcentral is "long non-coding RNA (PGIN_LNC009550)". Lineage: Eukaryota; Viridiplantae; Streptophyta; Magnoliopsida; Apiales; Araliaceae. The record is from RNAcentral.
UCCCUUUCUCUUUGUUCUUCAUCGACAACGUAAUAGCUCAUAAACCUCCUUAUGAGUAUAAACCCAUAGUCCUAAGCUUAGCAGUUGGUUAACCAUUUUCCACGUUCCACAUUCUAGAAACCUGGUGGCUGCUACCGUCAAAUGAAAAAUAAAUAAAUAAAUAGUUAAAAAGCGCAAAGUCCACCUACUAACCUAACCACUUUUCAAAAGUACAAUUAGGGUGACUAUUUGACUAGCAUAUAUAGUUGUCAUGCUCAUAACCAAGUGUGAUGAUAUAUUGCCAAAUAAUUAGAUCAUUAGCAUCAUUUACUCACAACAGGUAUAUUUAUUGUUCCCAAAUUGUUAUUUAGCUAAUCAUUUGUUUGUAUUUAAUGUAUAUCUUUUAAUUAUUGUAGUAGGUUAUUUUAGAUUAGCAUUAGGAGUUGUUUCCUUAUUAAAUUAGGUUAUUUAAAUUUUAGUAUAAUUAGGGUCAGUAGUCUACAUAAAGUGAUGUAAUUUAUUGUUAAAAGACAGAAUUUAGUAUACUGAUUGAUUUGAGAUUGGCUUUCGCCUUUGGGCCUUAUUGUUCUUCCUUUUUUCCCUUAUUUCUACUCAUUUACCCAAUCCAAAAACCCUUCUCAUCCUACAUCAAAGCUUUCCCUAAUAAGUUAAUGAAAAUAAAAACACUGCUCAUAUUCUCUAUGUGCAUGGAUUUGUGGAGUGACAAUUUCAUUUUUACCUUCUUUCACAUAUCCAUUUGUUCUAAAUUAUAGGACCAAUAUUGACUUUUCGAAGUCAAUUUGAGAUAUUUUCAUAUUCAAACUUGAUAUGAAUUCUUAUAUUUUUAGAAAACACAAUUAUAAAAGGGAAAAUGAUAUUUACACGUGUUUUUGUUAGUUCCGCAGGUCCCCCUCUCACAUGAAAGUGGGACCCACACCAUUCUAAUGUGAGAAGAGACCAUGUGAAACCAACAAAAGUACAUGUAAAAAUAGUUUGCUCCCCUGUUAAAAUUGUAUACUAUGUAAAAACUGCUAGUAAUUACAACAUUUAGUAUUUUCAAAAGUAAAAUGAAUUACAACAAUUUGAAUUUGAAAAUAUCUCGUAUUGACUUUAAACUUGAUUUUAUAUUUUGGAGUGGAAGGAAUAUAUUUUUUGUGUUUAUCACGCAGCCACGAACAUAUGGUUCAAUUCAAUCAACCCAAAAUCUUAUAUUCUACAUACUAUUUAUCUUCUACUUGAGUUGCUCUCAAAUCAUACUAAUUAGCUCCACCAAGUGAGGUAAAAUUUUAUAAUCUGUAAGAUGAAAAAAAUUCUAGGAAAUGGAAUGGAAAAGGAAAUUAGGGUUUAGUUUCUUCACAUAAUUUGUAAAUUGAAAAAAAAAAAUCCUUAAUGACAGUCGUACCCUAACCAGUCGACAAACAAGCACAAUUGAGAAAGAAACAAUGGCAACAGACUGCUACAAUAAACAACAAGAUUUCAAUUUGCAAAAUGGGAAAUGUGAGAAAUUCAAUAUAUAAAUUAUGACGCAUCUGAUAAUAAGUAUUUGAUACAAGGAUUGUUAAUUUCGGUAUCAUAUAUAUAUAUAUAUAUAUACAAGCACUUAUUGCUACAAACUAUAAAAUGAAGUUUAUACGAGUAUUUUUAUACCUUGAUGGCGGUAAAUGAGAAGUCCAGCCAGUGGAGGGGAAGAAACAUGGUCUAGCCAUUAGAUGGGAAGAAGAGAUUCCGACGUCUGUGGUGUACAGGUGUUGUUUCCUUCUCAUGUGCCUUAAUUCAUCUUAACAUCGUAAUGCAUGAUGCACAUUUUU